Long non-coding RNA from Capsicum annuum, 979 nucleotides. RefSeq lists it as uncharacterized. The transcript is spliced from 5 exons. The record is from RefSeq and is a predicted model, not a curated record. Lineage: Eukaryota; Viridiplantae; Streptophyta; Magnoliopsida; Solanales; Solanaceae.
AAUUAUUCCUUCUGCAUUCAGUCCACAACCAAGACCCUAUAAAUAGUGGAGCUACCCUAAUUUCCUCUUGUGACAUUCCAAAUCCAUUCUCCUCUUCAUUGUGCUCCCUUCCAAUAAUCGUCUGAACCUUAAGCUCCUUCUGCUUUUCCUUUGUAUAUUUUUUCACUUGCACCUUUUCUUCUCUUAUCGCUCCAAAUCACACAAGAGAAUUUCCUACUUGAAAGUAUAAAUCUCUCCUAUUUUGUACUUUUCUUUCCAUUUUAGCUCCUGAUCUGGUUAUAUCUAUCCUAGGAUGGAAAGGCCUAUCCAUUGUGAUGUGACUUGGACAGAGAUUUGAUACUACAGAACCAACAUCACUUACUAUCUACUAAGGUAUGCCAAGGGUGGCUUGGAAGGGCGUGCUGCAUUCGGGUCCCAACAGACUUAUAUCUUUUCUGACUUGAUAAUAUCUUGGUUUAUUCUAAGAGUGAGGCCAAUCAUGUGGAGCAUUUGCCGAUUCUUCUUCAGAGAUUUAGGAAUGAGAAGUUGUAUGCUAAGUUCUCAAAGCAUGAGUUUUGGUUGGAGACUGUCUUUUUCUUGGAUCAUGUGGUGCCAAAGAACGGUAUUAUGGUUAAUCCAUUCAAGAUUGCAGUGGUUCGUGAUUGGGAUAGGCCUACUUCGUCCACUGAGAUUUAGAGUUUUGUUGGCUUGAUAGGUUACUACUGAUGUUUUGUUGUGGUUUUCUCAUAUAUUGCAGCUCCGUUGACCAAGAUCACUCAAAAUACGGUUUCUUUUCAGUGGCUCGAUGCUUGUGAGAUCCUAGUUCGAGUAUGCCUUAUGGUGGUUGACUUUGGGCAGUACUUUGGUGCUAUUUGAGGUAGCUGUUGAAUUCUUUCUUCCGGAGUCAACAACUACCUUUCUUUAUUUAGACUAUCUUUAUUUUUGCAUUCAAAGAUAGAGUUGUUCCUGUUUUGGAUAUCUUAUGUAUUUUGAUCUCGAG